UGGAGAUGUGGGCCGCAGAGCUGCGAGGCCGGCGCUGUGCGGAUUCCCUAAACGCCGCACUUGCGCACAGCCCCUUACGUAACUGUCAGCGCCGGGGAUUCCCUAGAGGGGGUCAUUCUAUUCAACCAUUACACACACCCCGGGCUGCUGCCGCCGCGCCGCCGCCGCCUCACAAAAUGGCGGCGCCCAUAGAGGAGACAGCGGCCGCCUCCUCGGCCCCAUUUUGUGGGAGGCGAGAGAUCUGUCAACAUGGAAUACCUCUGCUGAGGAUGCAUCCGAGUUUGGAAAUCCUGAUGAAGAGAUGGAGCCGAAGGGAAUCUCGUUCAACGGAAAAUGUCAACGACUUCUAGCACCUCCACGCUUUUUAAAAAAAAUUAUUAUUUUCAUUUUCUCGAAGAAAGCGCCAGAAGCCGCCGGGGGCAAAGCUGCAUUUUUCUGCAGGCUACGUCUCAAUCACUAAGUUCCAUGCCCUGCCGCACCCGAAUGCUAGUUCUGGUGUGUGCAUUACCAAGAUACAGUUUCGGAUCCUGUCUGUUCCUACUGAUGUUCUUUAUAUUUAAUAAAUUUAGUGACCACUAACCAGUCUGUAUCUCUUGCCAGAAUACCCACCGUAUCUUAGCACCCAAGUACCCAGAGUAUUUUUUUAUGGGAUUGCACUAACAGUAACCCUAGAGAAUAGUAUUACGUUUCUUUGUACCAUACUGCAUUUCCUAUAGUGGGCAGCAUAGAGCAGGUGGAUCCUGGAAGAAAAUGAUAGAGAAGUGCAACAGUUUUACAAUAUUCUUUAAUAUUCUCUAAUUUGAUGAUGUAAAUAAAAUAUAAUUCAUAGUUUUCAAGCAUCAAUAGAAAUCAUUCCUAUAAAAAGUACCAGUGACAGUGGAAAUUGUUGAAACUCAAUUUGUAUAGUUUACUGUUCUGAUGAGAAAUGUUGACAAAGCCUUUUUGAUGUGAAAAAAUGCAAAAAGUGUGGUUUUUAAUUGUAACUGCAAACCCUACACAUCAUAAUUACAAGUUUGUUAUUUUAUAUGCCCCUCUGAUCCUUAUAAUCAGUUUUAAUGUUAUAUAAAACUUAAAAAACUAAACCAAAUUUCAAAUCAAGCAUGUCAGGUUACAACAGCUGAACUACCUUAAUUGAGGAAUUGGUACAUCGAUUCACUGGAGACAUUUUUGGAUUUUAAGUUACUCUAUGGUUUAAAAGAAUUGGUUGAACAAGGCAGUUGAACUUAAAAGUUUUAUGUCUUUAAAGAUGAUCUUAAGAGGAAAGGAAUUGUUGGUAAGAUAAGAGAAUGCUUUCACCUUUUGCUGCUCUUGCCCGUGUCUACUGCUGUACUUUUUUAUGUGGGCUAACUUGUCUUGUUUGAACCUUUGAUUAUAAUAUCAAAUCAUAGAUAAGGUCUUUCUUCAUGAUAGCAACUCUUAAGGAUUACUUGUAACUACGCUUUUAAAAAGUGAGGACAUAGUUUAUUCUACUGCAGGUUAAGGUUUUAAGUAGAUAUUCUGAAUUUGCAGUGGACAGACUUUUGAGUGGUUUGUUCCUAAAGGGUCUGAUAAGUUUUGGGAUAUUUCUUUGUUGUAAUUUCUUUUCAAUAGAUAUUAAAGGCUAUGCUUUGUACAUAAAUCCAGUGUAGUAAGACUUAAUAAUUUAAAAAACUAUAUUUUAGCCAAUUAUAGUGUUCUUUUGAGAGGCAUCCCCAAAUGUGCUUUUCACAGGGAGCUGUUCUCAUUAGGUCAGUUACCUAAUCUUGAAUUUUUUUAAUUGUUACGGGUUUAAGGUGCUACAUUUGUGCAUUGUUAUUUAUUUCAUCUAAUUUGGUCACUAAAAAAGAACAGUAGGCCCCAAACUAACUGUGCUCUUUAUAAAGCACCACAGUUUUUACUAAUUUAAUGGUUUAUAGUAUUCUAAAAGUUAUGAAAACUAGGAGAGCAUAAAUACUAAACCAAGGAAAUAAUUAUUUUUUAUCAAUGCAGUUUACUAAGUCAGUGAAUAAAUACUUAUUGAAUGCCUACAUUGGGCAAAAUGGGAGAGAGGGCGAGAGAAAUUGACUUAGCCCUCAAGGAAAUUAUACUCCAGUAUACUAGAUUUUUCUUAACUGCUAGCUUUAGAAGAUUAUAACAAAAUAUUCAGACCAUAGAGUUCUUAAUUUUUAACACUUAAGCAGGAUGUUUAGCAUAGAGUUAAAUUCAAAAUUCUGCUUAGAAUAGAGACAUUUAAAUAUAAUUACGUACAAAAUUAUAUUACUGUUAGGAUCAGUGUAGUAUUACUGUUAUUCAAAGUGCUGUAAAAAUAUUAAUAGCAGCAUUUAAAUCACAUCCUUUGAAAACUCAGAUCCACAAAAAAUAUGAUUCCAGUAAUUAACUUUUUAAUUAUGGGAAAAGCAAGGGAGUGUAAAAAAUAUACUACUGAGCAAACGAACAGGAAUUGUUUUAAUGAAAUUUGAUUUUCUGUUUCAAUUUUUUGGUACAUUGACUCUUCUGACAUUGCACUUUGCUAUUAAUUUAAAAAAAUUAAACUCCAAAGACACAUUAAUUCUGUAUUUAAUGCAAAUUUAAUUCUUGACUAGCUGUAAAGCUUAAAGAGUUGGCAGUCUUGUUGGUGAAACAAUAAAAUAGGAAUUAGGCUGAAAUGCAAAACUAUGUAAUAAUUAGGUUUCAUAAAUACAUAUAUAGGUUUUCCUCUAUAGCUGUAUGAAUCAGAGAAGUAUUGACUUAAUAAUAAUUUGUUUAGUUUUUGUUUUUCUCUGAAAACAUACCACAAACUGCAUGUCAAAAUUGAAAGUCAACCAGAGCCAGUGUGAAUUGUUGAGGCUUAUUGCCAUCCAUUAAGGGAAAUUCUAACCAAAGGUUUAGUGGCAACAAUUUUAAAGGUGCCAUGGUUCUUUGACAUAAUUUGUGGUAUGUAGAACUCAAAAACAUUCUAGAAUAAUCUGUGUGUGAUAAUGUACAUGAGAAAUACUAUCUGUUCUUUGGGGGCAUAAAAUACCUGACUUAAUAUUUACAUGUAACUACAAUGCUUGCAGGUGUUUUAAACAAAAAUGAAAAUUUUAAGCGUGUUGCACUA
This is a long non-coding RNA of Lynx canadensis (Canada lynx), 3058 nucleotides long. RefSeq lists it as uncharacterized. The transcript is spliced from 2 exons. Lineage: Eukaryota; Metazoa; Chordata; Mammalia; Carnivora; Felidae. The record is from RefSeq and is a predicted model, not a curated record.